RNAcentral lists this non-coding RNA (1669 nucleotides) under Paramicrosporidium saccamoebae. Its description in RNAcentral is "Bacterial small subunit ribosomal RNA". It matches the Rfam family "Bacterial small subunit ribosomal RNA". Lineage: Eukaryota; Fungi; Rozellomycota. The record is from Rfam by way of RNAcentral.
AAAAAAUAAAAUUUGAUUCUGGUUUCGAAAGAAUGCGAUAAAUUGGUUUUAGACAUGCAAUUGAAGAUAUAUUUAUAUUUUUAGUAUAGUGGUGAGAUAAAUAAGUUUAAUUACCCUUAACUUUAUAAUAAAAAUAUAAAUAUUAUAAUAAAAAAAGAAAAAGGAUAGAACUUAAAAAGAUUAUGGUGAAAAAUGAAGGAAAAACCUAAAUUAAACUGAAGAUCUUAAACUGGGUUGAAAGACCGAACAGUCACAAUGGUAUAGAAAGAACCAUAGUCUUUAGGGACUCAGCAGUCAAGAAUAUUGCUCAAUGGACGAAAGUUUGAAGCAGCCAAUUAAUUAUCUCCCAUAGGGAGAAUAAAUCAAAUAAAAAUAAAACCUUUGGGAAUUAUUAAAUUUGAAUAAGAUUUUCUUUUAUAUAUUAGACAAGAAAAAAAGAAUCUUUAGUCUUUGCUAAGUUUUUGUGCCAGCAGCAGCGGUUAGACAAAGAAGGCAAGCAUUUUUCAACAUAAUUAGGCGUAAAGGGUGAGUAGGUAAAGAAAAAGAGUAAUUAAGAAGGAAAAAGAAUGUUCAGAGAUAGGAGUGAAAUCUGUAAAUACUGAAUGGAACCUCAUAGGCGAAAGCUUUUUUCUAUUAAUAUACUGACACUGAAUCACGAAGGCUAAAGGAGCAAAAUCGAUUAGGUACCGAUGUAGUUUUAGCAGUAAACGAUGACUAUUCAUUAUUUUUUAACAAAAUCUUAAAAUAAAAACAUUAGAGAAAAAAGAAAACCUAAAAAAGGUUAAAAAAGAGUAAUUAAGCUAACGCAUUAAAUAGUCCGCCUGAUAAUUACGGUCGCAAGACUAAAAAUUAAAGAAAUUGACAGAGACCAAAUAAAGCAGUGGAUGGUGGCCCAUAAUUCGACAGUACACGAAAACCUUACCUCAUUUAAUAUAUAUUUUAAAAUAUUUACUCUCUUCUGAGAUAAGAAUAUGAAAAAUACAAUAUAAUAUUAUUUCUUUAAAGUGAUAUAUUCAUAAUUUGAAUUUAUUUUUUUACUAGAAUAAUUUAGGUAUUGCACGAUUGUGCUCAAUUCGUGGCGUAAGCUUUCAAGUUUAGUCUGACAACGAAUGAAAUCCUAUAUAAAAAAAAAAUAAUGCACUCGGAAGGGGUGUUAUACUCUCUAAGUUUAUAAUUUCUAAAUUUUUAAAUAAAUAAUAAAGAUUUAGUUAAAUUUAGAUAAGAGUUAAUAGGAUAAUCACAAAUGCUGUGAUCCUUAUAAUGAAGGGAUAGAACUGCCAUACAAAGAUAAUUACAAAUAUAUUAUCUUAUAAUUAAAAAUCUAAAAUUUUUAGAUUUAAAUUAAGAAUUAAAAAUUAUUUAUGUACGAAAGUCUUUUUGAAAUUAAAAGACAUAAGUAGGAAUUGCUAGUAAUCUGUAAAUUAGUAUAUUACGGUGAAUUUUUCCUUGGUCUGGUACAAAUAGCCCGUCACAUCGAGAAAGAUAGAAAAACUUAUAAAAAUAAACUUUAUUUAUAUAAUUCUAAUAAUAUUCAAUUCCCCUUAAAGGGAAUUAUAUAUUAUAUAUAAUAUAUUGUAUUAAGUUGAAAGAUAUUGAGUAUUUAUUAUUGAUUUUAAUGAAGUCGAAACACGGUAAUUGUGCCUGAAGGUACAGUUGAAAUAUUUUAUAC